CGAGUAGACGGCGAUGCAAGUCAGAUGUGAAAUGCUAGGGCUUAACCUUAGAACUGCAUCUGAAACUGUAUUGCUAGAGUGCAGGAGAGGUAAACGGAAUUCCUAGUGUAGCGGUGAAAUGCGUAGAUAUUAGGAGGAACAUCAGUGGCGAAGGCGGUUUACUGGACUGUAACUGACGUUGAGGCGCGAAAGCGUGGGAAGCAAACA
This 207-nucleotide ribosomal RNA is filed under the name uncultured bacterium. RNAcentral's name for it is "partial 16S ribosomal RNA". It matches the Rfam family "Bacterial small subunit ribosomal RNA", at positions 568 to 774 of the family's 1533-position model. The record is from RNAcentral.